This is a long non-coding RNA of Gambusia affinis (western mosquitofish), 457 nucleotides long. RefSeq lists it as uncharacterized. Lineage: Eukaryota; Metazoa; Chordata; Actinopteri; Cyprinodontiformes; Poeciliidae. The record is from RefSeq and is a predicted model, not a curated record. The transcript has 2 exons.
CCUCCUCUUCCUCCUCGUCGUCAUCUCUCCUCCCACAAAAGCCGCGCUGCGCCUGACAUGCUGACAGCACCAAGAGGUCUGCUUGGACUGUGGCGCAUCAGGGAGUCUGGCCUGAGUCAUGUUGCAGCCGCCACAAGUUGCCAGCUUGUGAAGCCUCCCUGACAUGGCCAACACUGAUAAAGCUGCCAACGUAGCUCCAUGUGUUGCCGUUUGCCAAAAGCUGUCAUAUGACUCAUUCCCACACACUUCAGUGUUUGCUGCCAUAAAAAGCCAACGCUUUAUUUUGACUAUAUGAAGACAUUCAUCAGUAGGAAGACUCUUUCUGCAACUCAUGAAUCCCUCUGCUCAGAUAAUCAGUUGAUGAUGCCAUGUUGAAACCUUGUGGAUUUAGGCAGCUGUUGUCUGAAAUUUAACUGAAAAUGGAAAUGUGCAAAUAAAAAAUGCUACUAAAGAGAAA